This 467-nucleotide ribosomal RNA is filed under the name uncultured bacterium. RNAcentral describes it as "partial 16S ribosomal RNA". It matches the Rfam family "Bacterial small subunit ribosomal RNA", at positions 28 to 506 of the family's 1533-position model. The record is from RNAcentral.
GACGAACGCUGGCGGCGUGCUUAACACAUGCAAGUCAAACGGAAAGGCCCUGCUUUUGUGGGGUGCUCGAGUGGCGAACGGGUGAGUAACACGUGAGUAACCUGCCCUUGACUUUGGGAUAACUUCAGGAAACUGGGGCUAAUACCGGAUAGGAGCUCCUGCUGCAUGGUGGGGGUUGGAAAGUUUCGGCGGUUGGGGAUGGACUCGCGGCUUAUCAGCUUGUUGGUGGGGUAGUGGCUUACCAAGGCUUUGACGGGUAGCCGGCCUGAGAGGGUGACCGGCCACAUUGGGACUGAGAUACGGCCCAGACUCCUACGGGAGGCAGCAGUGGGGAAUAUUGCACAAUGGGCGGAAGCCUGAUGCAGCAACGCCGCGUGCGGGAUGACGGCCUUCGGGUGGUAAACCGCUUUCGCCUGUGACGAAGCGUGAGUGACGGUAAUGGGUAAAGAAGCACCGGCUAACUACGU